UGGCGGGUUAUUGAAAAUUUGUAAACAUAAGACGAUUAGUAAUUAUUGUAUGCACCAAGCGAGCUUCGUAUCUAGCAAGAGUGUCAAUAAUGAUGAAUUCCAAGAUUUAGCUACAUACAAAAUUCUCAAACUAUUAUUGACUCAGACUGAUCAAUAUCCAUUAAACAGCGUUCUUGACAUUCCUCCAUUGUGAAAUGUGCUUGAAGAAUUGACAUGUGUCUUGUCAAUGAGGUGUUCGAAACAUCUCCCCUUAUACAUUUGGUGGGGUGAUCUGACUUAUUGUGAUCAAAGACAUGUCUACUUGGAUUGCAUUUGUUAGACCUGAACAUCAUGCAUAUAUACAAUGACACUAUUACCACCUGUGUUAGUGUUGUUUGCGGAAAAUUCUUGACAUAUAUUCAAGAUGGACAUAUCAGUUAGCAUAUUAAACAAUGAACAGCAAGCAGAAAACCCUUUUUCAAAGCUGGGGUAACCAUGGUAACAGACAAUCUUCUCAAAAGCAGGCAUCAAAUACAAAAGCCUCCUUGCACACUUCAAGUGUUGGUGGUCAUGGUGAUGUGAUUGACCUGUGUGAUGAGGACCUUGAUGAAGAUGAUGCCCUGCUUAUUCAGGCUUUGGAUGAAAGCAUACAGACUGCAAACAUAAAUGGUUUUACCUGCGGUGAACAUGGUGACAAACCCAAUAUUUCAAGCAAGUAUCCACAGAGUAGCGUUCCUUUCUCAAAGGCCAAUACUUCAAUCAGAUCAUCAUCAUCAUCAUCAUCAUCAUCCAGAUUGUUCAACACAUGUCACAAGGCUACAGCAGUGCAGGGCAACAAUGAAUCAGUUGAAGAGGGAAACUUGUCUGUUGGAACAGAGAAAAUUGAUGUCCAUGUUCCACCCAGCUCUGUCUCACUGUCACACAUACCAGAUCUGCCAGGGUUUGACAAGCAAGCCGGCCAAUUGUGGAUCUACCCAACCAACUACCAAGUCCGAGACUACCAGUUCAACAUUGUCCAGCAGUGUCUGUACAACAAUACUCUGGUCACCUUGCCGACAGGCCUGGGGAAAACUUUCAUAGCUGCUGUUGUCAUGUACAACUAUUACCGAUGGUACCCACAGUGCAAGAUAGUAUUCAUGGCCCCAACCAAGCCCCUGGUAGCUCAACAGAUCCAUGCCUGUUAUAACAUUAUGGGCAUACCCCCAGAGGACACUGCUGAGAUGACAGGCAACAUGAACCCAGCAGAGAGGCGGAGGACAUGGAAGGAGAAACGUGUGUUCUUUCUCACCCCUCAAGUCAUAACCAAUGACCUGAGUCGGGGCACCUGCCCCGCUGACACUGUUAAGUGUCUAGUCAUUGAUGAGGCGCACAAGGCACUUGGAAACCAUGCUUAUUGUCAGGUUGUGAGGGAAUUGGUGAAAUAUACAAGGGAAUUUCGGGUUGUAGCUCUCAGUGCUACCCCUGGAAGUGAUCUCAAGGCUGUGCAGCAAGUCAUCACAAACCUGCUCCUGUCACACAUUGAACUGAGGACGGAACAGUGUAUUGACAUCAAGCCUUACACUCAUGAGAGGAAGGUGGAGAAGAUUGUGGUAGCACUUGGGGAAGAACUUUUAAUGAUACAGAAGAAGUACAUACAGGUGAUGAGUGUAGUGGUCAAGCGUUUGACCCAUCAGCAAGUUCUCUACAGCCAGCGGGAGGUGACAAGUCUCUCCAAGUUCUUUAUACUGAAAGCAAGGGAGGCAUUCCGACAAAACCCUCCUCCAAGUAUGCCUAGCCAUCAGUAUGGUGUGGUUGAGGGUGACUUUGCCCUGGCUCUCAGCCUCUACCAUGGUUAUGAACUGCUGCAACUGCAUGGUCUCCGGUCUCUCUACAACUUCCUGGAUGGAAUCAUCAACGGGGAUAAAGGUUAUGGUCGUACCAAAACAGAACUCAUGAAGAAUGGGAACUUCCUGGAAAUCAUGGACAUCCUUAAAACAAAGUAUGCUGCAGAUGACAGUUCAUGGAGCAGUACCCAGAAGAAGGCCAGCUAUGUGUCAGGUCACCCCAAGAUGAAGAAGCUGGAGCAGGUCGCCCUGGAACACUUCAAUACAUCACACCAGGCCACUCGUGUGAUGAUCUUCUCCCAGUACCGUGACAGUGUCCAGGAAAUCACAGACAUGUUGAACCUUCACAGACCCAUGAUAAUGGCCAUAAGCUUCAUAGGACAGUCAUCUACAGGGAAAUCAACCAAGGGAUUCACUCAGAAAGAACAGCUUAAAGUAAUGAAAGCGUUUCGAGAAGGUGGAUACAACACUUUAGUGUCCACAUGUGUUGGUGAAGAAGGCCUUGACAUCGGGGAUGUGGACUUGAUUAUCUGCUUCGAUGCACACAAGUCUCCAAUCCGCCUGGUGCAGAGAAUGGGGCGUACAGGGAGGAAGAGACAAGGGCGCAUAGUUAUGCUGGUCACUGCAGGCAAGGAGGAACAGGUUUACAACCAGAGCCAGUACUCUAAGCGUAGUAUUCACAAAGGCAUCCUUAAUGGAGCACGAUCUUUGCAUCUGUACCCAAAUAAUCCCCGAAUGCUGCCUGAUGGCCUUGCUCCAGCAUGUCACAAGAUGUUCAUCACUGUCAAGGAUGUUGCCCGCUUGAAUCCAGUCCCCAAGGACCCAGGAGAAACCCAGCAGCGGAAGCUCCUGACAGGCAAGACUGGAACACGUACAGGGCGGAAGUUGCUUCCCAAGAGCGAGGAAGCCACAAUAACAGAAGAGGAGUACAGUGAACUGAAGGCGUUUCUGGUGUCCCAUUUCAAGUGUCCACCGCCACGUCCCACACUCCUCUAUCUGGGCAGCCAGUUGCAAAAGGAAACUGAAGGAGAGAAUACAUUAUCUCUGACUGAGUGGACGUUAUGGCAAAACCGUCUGCAGGACACACAAUUUGUUGAUCACUCGAGGCGCAGUGAGCACCUAGUGGAACUAAUCGAGUUCCUCCAACUACAGGAAACAUUGCCUGGAAAUGAGGACCAUUAUGGUGUUGAGAUGGAGAUGUAUCUGAAGCGUGAGGAUGUGCUGCAGCCAGGGGAGAAAGAUGACUCGGAACAGGGAGGGGGCAUCCUCAGGUUCUGUACCACAAGUGGGCAUCAGAAGCACCCAACAAGAGGGAAGCCGGCUGGGUUGACUGCCAGGAGGACAGUCGGGGGGACUGAGAUACUACCAGUCAUUGAGGACUGGGAAGGGGAGAGGGAGGAUAGUGAGGGGGAGCUGCCAGAGUGUCAUACCACUGGCAUGGUUGUACAGGGAGCAGACAAGCAAGAACAGUAUGUAAUCAAAAGUAUUUCUCCACAACAUGCUAAAGCAAAGAACAAUAACAAAAUUGAAUUCCAUAAAGAUAAAAUGAAGCAGGAUCUAAACAUUAAAAGAACAAAAAGCAAGAAAUUUGUGAGGGAAGGAAGCUUAAUCAAGCCUAUCAUGCUUGAUGAGGGUGACUUUGAAGAAGACGCUCCAGUUGCAGUGAUAGAUAUGAAACAAGACGAAGAUUCCUUACAUUGUGAUGAGUGGAGUAUGGAUUUAAAUCUUGGUCUAGAGAGGGAAAACUUACAUGUAACUCAUACAGAAUCUUUAGAUGUGAACAUCUCUGGAGAUCAACAAGUCAAUUCCUUUAUAUUACAGCAACCUACUGAUGUGGUUUCUCAGGGUAGUGUGUCCAAUUGCCCAUUAAAGCUAGGAACAUUCAUGAUUAGAACAGCCCCACCCUUGCAGGUGGUUGACAUGGUAUUCAGUGAUCUGAGAAAUGAGGCUGUGUUACCUACGUUAGAUCUUAAACAGCUUGUUUGCGAGUGGUAUGAGGAAAGUUAUGGACCAGCUGGGCUGGUGUAUGUGACUUCCCGGGAGAAGCAACAUGAAAUUACUUUUGGCACAAAUCAAGAAAAGGCCAGACUUUGUGAAGGUAGUGCACUGUGCAGUAGUUUGAGUGCUACCACGGGUGACAGGGCAAAUGUGUUGCAGUCUGCUAAUCAGGGCAUUGCAGGUAUCAGUGACCAAUCCGGUCCAGACUCAGAUAUACAUACAUUCACUUGGAUGAAACCAGCACCAUCAGUGCCUGAAAGCGACACAGCAAAGAAAAAUCUGUCAGUGUUAAAUCUAAAUAUUAUGAAAAACAUACCCUCUGGUACUGAAACCUUUCCUUCACAAGGACCAGAAAAAACAAUUCUUGCAACAUGUGAUAAAGCUUGUGGUGACAUCAUAGACCUUGGUGUAAGUAUGAACAGAAGUGUACAUUUCAGGGAGAGUAUUAUGGAAAUUGAUGACCAUAGGAUUAUCAGAAGUGAUAAGCCUAACAAACAGGAGCAAGACAUGAACAGUUUACAUAAUAUGUACACUGAUUGUACAUCAAAAGAAACUGGGUCACAACAUUCAUAUUUUGAAGAUGACAUAAUGAACAACAAGUACCCAGAUGUUUCCACACCCCAAAUAUUACAUAUAGCCAGAUCCCCUCACCCAGAGGUUCUCACUUUCACCCAGGCCCUGCUGUGUGUGCAGAGUAGUGAGGAACACCCACAGGACCAAGGGCAGCUUGUGGUGGAAGACUUCGAACAGGAAGAACACCCACAGGACCAAGGGCAGCUUGUGGUGGAAGACUUCGAACAGGAAGAACACCCACAGGACCAAGGGCAGCUUGUGGUGGAAGACUUCGAACAGGAAGAACACCCACAGGACCAAGGGCAGCUUGUGGUGGAAGACUUCGAACAGGAAGAACACCCACAGGACCAAGGGCAGCUUGUGGUGGAAGACUUCGAACAGGAAGAACACCCACAGGACCAAGGGCAGCUUGUGGUGGAAGACUUCGAACAGGAAGAACACCCACAGGACCAAGGGCAGCUUGUGGUGGAAGACUUCGAACAGGAAGAACACCCACAGGACCAAGGGCAGCUUGUGGUGGAAGACUUCGAACAGGAAGAACACCCACAGGACCAAGGGCAGCUUGUGGUGGAAGACUUCGAACAGGAAGAACACCCACAGGACCAAGGGCAGCUUGUGGUGGAAGACUUCGAACAGGAGGAACACCCACAGGACCAAGGGCAGCUUGUGGUGGAAGACUUCGAACAGGAAGAACACCCACAGGACCAAGGGCAGCUUGUGGUGGAAGACUUCGAACAGGAAGAACACCCACAGGACCAAGGGCAGCUUGUGGUGGAAGACUUAAAACAGGAGACAGAUGAUAUUGAUCAUUUUAUGCCAAGCUUUAAUCUCUUUGAUGAUGCUACAGAUCAUGACGAUGGGUACCAGCAUGAACAGCAAACGUACCUAGGUUCUUCCUCAUCUGAUAUUGUGAAGCAUUCAUUCUCUGAGAUAAAGAUGAACCGAGAGCCUGUGACAUUUGUUGAAGGUUCACAUAUCGAGUCUGCUCCAGGAAUGGUGUAUAGUGAAAAGCAACAACAUUCAAAAGUUACUUAUGUGACGGCAGCUACUCAACCUCACUCAGAUGACAAUGGGUGCGAUUUUGACUUCCCACAUUUUGACCUUGAAUUUGACUUUGAUGAUGAUAUCAUACCGCCAUCCCCUAUGGCAGCUCAAACAUUUUCUCAGAUGUCCCUAAGUCGUUCUCAAAUUAACAUCACAAGUCGAAAAAAAUUAAACUUCAAGGAAACUGAUGAUUUAGUUUCAGGGGAGAGAGAUGAGGAUGUGACAACCAUGGUAUGUGGGGUUGUUGGGAAGACAUCAAAUGAGCCUCAGCAUAUGUCCUUGGACAAUCCACUGGCUGAUGAUCUAGGCACUGUAAACUUGACUAACAGUCCAGAAGCAGCUGCACUAACUGAGGAAAGAAAUAUACAUCAAACCUCUGCUUCAAAAGCUGACAUGAUAUCUUCCUCAGUUGUGUUUGUCAAGGCAGAUCGAGGAGAGGAUCUGACUCCCAUGCCUAGAGCCCCAUUCCUCUACAGUCCUUUGUCAAGCCAUGCCCGAAGCAGCACUCCUAAGGCUGGCGUGUCCAAGAUGUCCUCAUGCAUCUCAUAUCUGGCUAAAGUUGCUACCCCAGUAAUGAACAAAGUCUCCUCCAUGGUUAGGACUGCUAGUGGCGGUAUGCCUGACAGUCUACAUUCUACAUUGGCACAAACAAACCAGUUGUCUAAUAGUCCCAGCGCUUCCACACCCAGCGGUCCACAGGAAGCUUGUGGGGCUGAGCACACUGAAGUUGAGGAGGAGAGUUUCCGUUUAGUUAGGAAAAGGAAGGUGGCAGCCAUUCUGGAGGAUACUGGAGAUUCCUUCUCUUUCCAACAUGGACAGGAAAGUAGAGAUGUGAAGGUCCUGUCCUUCAAGACUCCAUCUCGGCCUGCUGCCAGAAAGAAGCAGAAGAUGAAGCAGUUAGAUUUCUCCAGUGAUGAGGAGAAUGAAUGUGGCCUCAGCUCCAGCUCCAGCAAGUCCUGGAGUAGAGCAUCUCAACCCCAUCAUAGCAGCAGUCAUACCAAUGAUGAGGAUGAUUUCCAGCUGAGCCAAGAUACUGGUGACAACAAAGUGGUGAAUGCAUCAAAGAAGAAAAGGAAAGAACGAAAAACAAUAAAGACAAGACAGGGCCAUUGCUUUCUGGAUGAGGAGGCCAUACUGUCUGGCAGUGAUGCAUCAUCCGAUGAGGACUGGGACAGCAAUGAUGAAUGUCUGGAGGCCAGUUUUGUUAAUGACGACACUCAGAUGUCUCAAGAUGAUGUUGCCAAAUGAUUGUGGUUUAAAUGAGAAGAUAGUGAUACUAGUUGACUCAAGAGAAAUCAGUGGGGCACAGGAUAUAGUGUCAAACUUGAGAUUACAGCAUGGUGCAACAGUGCUAGCCAGACAGCUGGGUGCCUGUGACUACAUCAUCAGCAACAGAACUGCUGUUGAUCGCAGACAACUCUCA
RNAcentral lists this unclassified non-coding RNA (6840 nucleotides) under Haliotis rufescens (red abalone). RNAcentral describes it as "fanconi anemia group M protein-like, transcript variant X2". The record is from RNAcentral. Lineage: Eukaryota; Metazoa; Mollusca; Gastropoda; Lepetellida; Haliotidae.